GAUGAAGAACGCAGCGAAAUGCGAUAAGUAAUGUGAAUUGCAGAACUCAGUGAAUCAUCGAAUCUUUGAACGCACAUUGCGCCCGCCAGCAUUCUGGCGGGCAUGCCUGUUCGAGCGUCAUUUCAACCCUCGAGCCCCCCCGGGGGCCUCGGUGUUGGGGGACGGCACACCAGCCGCCCCCGAAAUGCAGUGGCGACCCCGCCGCAGCCUCCCCUGCGUAGUAGCACACACCUCGCACCGGAGCGCGGAGGCGGUCACGCCGUAAAACGCCCAACUUUCUUAGAGUUGACCUCGGAUCAGGUAGGAAUACCCGCUGAACUUAAGCAUAUCAAUAAGCGGAGGA
This 343-nucleotide unclassified non-coding RNA is filed under the name soil metagenome. RNAcentral describes it as "partial contains 5.8S ribosomal RNA, internal transcribed spacer 2, and large subunit ribosomal RNA". The stretch from base 1 to 120 matches the Rfam family "5.8S ribosomal RNA", at positions 35 to 154 of the family's 154-position model. The record is from RNAcentral.